GCUAGCACGUGUGGAAACCCUAGCUCCUUGAGAAAUCAAGUUGGUCUCAUACCUUGCUAAUUUGCUAACCCAAUUUGGUAAGCAAUUAGGUCAAUUCGUGCCACCUAGAAGCAGUCUAAAAAGAGAUGUCACAUCUCAAGUUAACACCAAUUUACAAGAGUCCUCUUGGAUGAGGACUCUUGGCACAAAAAAGAGGACUCGUGCGCGUGUUGGCGUGAGU
This 220-nucleotide long non-coding RNA is filed under the name Elaeis guineensis (African oil palm). RNAcentral's name for it is "long non-coding RNA (EGUI_LNC042854)". Lineage: Eukaryota; Viridiplantae; Streptophyta; Magnoliopsida; Arecales; Arecaceae. The record is from RNAcentral.